Molecule: long non-coding RNA, 227 nt
Filed under: Homo sapiens (human)
Lineage: Eukaryota; Metazoa; Chordata; Mammalia; Primates; Hominidae
Description: HSALNT0191452
Source: RNAcentral
AUUACCUGAAUUUUUGUUGUGGGGAACUUUUGUUGGGCACAGUUUGAGAAGCUUAAUACAUAUGAUUGAAAUGACACCGAGAAGAAAUUUUACUCAACCAAGUUUACUGUUUUUCACUUUUCAUACGUUUUUGAGAACUUUCAGGAGGAUGAAUAUUUGUAGUUGACAAAAUAUAUUGCAUGAGAAAUUGUAACUCUCUUCAACCAUUCACUUUCUCAAGAUAAAAA